This 496-nucleotide ribosomal RNA is filed under the name uncultured bacterium. Its description in RNAcentral is "partial 16S ribosomal RNA". It matches the Rfam family "Bacterial small subunit ribosomal RNA", at positions 29 to 507 of the family's 1533-position model. The record is from RNAcentral.
AUGAACGCUGGCGGCGUGCCUAAUACAUGCAAGUCGAGCGAACAGACGAGGAGCUUGCUCCUUUGACGUUAGCGGCGGCCGGGUGAGUAACACGUGGAUAACCUACCUAUAAGACUGGGAUAACUUCGGGAAACCGGAGCUAAUACCGGAUAACAUGUUGAACCGCAUGGUUCAACAGUGAAAGACGGUCUUGCUGUCACUUAUAGAUGGAUCCUCGCCGCAUUAGCUAGUUGGUAAGGUAACGGCUUACCAAGGCAACGAUGCGUAGCCGAACUGAGGGGGUGAUCGGCCACACGGGAACUGAGACGCGGUCCAGACUACUACGGGAGGCAGCAGUAGGGAAUCUGCCGCAAUGGGCGGAAGCCUGACGGAGCAACGCCGCGUGAGUGGAGGAGGUCUUCGGAUCGGAAAGCUCUGUUAUUAGGGAAGAACAAAUGUGUAAGUAACUAUGCACGUCUUGACGGUACCGGAUCAGAAAGCCACGGCUAACUACGUG